RNAcentral lists this ribosomal RNA (606 nucleotides) under Actinomycetales bacterium A219. Its description in RNAcentral is "bacterial SSU rRNA". It matches the Rfam family "Bacterial small subunit ribosomal RNA", at positions 56 to 681 of the family's 1533-position model. The record is from RNAcentral. Lineage: Bacteria; Bacillati; Actinomycetota; Actinomycetes; Actinomycetales.
UGCAGUCGACGAUGAAGCUCUUCGGAGUGGAUUAGUGGCGAACGGGUGAGUAACACGUGGGCAAUCUGCCCUGUACUUUGGGAUAAGCCUUGGAAACGGGGUCUAAUACCGGAUAUCACAUUCCCUCGCAUGGGGGUUUGUUGAAAGUUCUGGCGGUACAGGAUGAGCCCGCGGCCUAUCAGCUUGUUGGUGGGGUAAUGGCCUACCAAGGCGACGACGGGUAGCCGGCCUGAGAGGGUGACCGGCCACACUGGGACUGAGACACGGCCCAGACUCCUACGGGAGGCAGCAGUGGGGAAUAUUGCACAAUGGGCGAAAGCCUGAUGCAGCGACGCCGCGUGAGGGAUGACGGCCUUCGGGUUGUAAACCUCUUUCGCCAGGGACGAAGCGCAAGUGACGGUACCUGGAUAAGAAGCACCGGCUAACUACGUGCCAGCAGCCGCGGUAAUACGUAGGGUGCAAGCGUUGUCCGGAAUUAUUGGGCGUAAAGAGCUCGUAGGCGGUUUGUCGCGUCGGCUGUGAAAACUGGAGGCUUAACCUUCAGCGUGCAGUCGAUACGGGCAGACUUGAGUUCGGUAGGGGAGACUGGAAUUCCUGGUGUAGCGG